AUACGGAGGAUGCGAGCGUUAUCCGGAUUUAUUGGGUUUAAAGGGUGCGUAGGCGGUUUUUUAAGUCAGCGGUGAAACGCAAGGGCUCAACCCUUGACCUGCCGUUGAAACUGGAGGACUUGAAUGCGGAUGCUGUGGGAGGAAUGUGUGGUGUAGAGGUGAAAUGCAUAGAUAUCACACAGAACACCGAUUGCGAAGGCAUCUCACAAAUCCGUGAUUGACGCUGAGGCACGAAAGUGUGGGGAUCAAACAGGAUUAGAUACCCUGGUAGUCCACACUGUAAACGAUGAUGACUCGCUGUCGGCGAUAUACAGUCGGUGGCCAAGCGAAAGCGAUAAGUCAUCCACCUGGGGAGUACGACCGCAAGGUUGAAACUCAAAUGAAUUGACGGGG
This 393-nucleotide ribosomal RNA is filed under the name uncultured bacterium. Its description in RNAcentral is "partial 16S ribosomal RNA". It matches the Rfam family "Bacterial small subunit ribosomal RNA", at positions 523 to 918 of the family's 1533-position model. The record is from RNAcentral.